This 592-nucleotide ribosomal RNA is filed under the name uncultured bacterium. RNAcentral's name for it is "bacterial SSU rRNA". It matches the Rfam family "Bacterial small subunit ribosomal RNA", at positions 338 to 956 of the family's 1533-position model. The record is from RNAcentral.
CCUACGGGAGGCAGCAGUGGGGAAUCUUGCGCAAUGGGCGAAAGCCUGACGCAGCCAUGCCGCGUGAAUGAUGAAGGUCUUAGGAUUGUAAAAUUCUUUCACCGGGGACGAUAAUGACGGUACCCGGAGAAGAAGCCCCGGCUAACUUCGUGCCAGCAGCCGCGGUAAUACGAAGGGGGCUAGCGUUGCUCGGAAUUACUGGGCGUAAAGGGAGCGUAGGCGGACAUUUAAGUCAGGGGUGAAAUCCCAGAGCUCAACUCUGGAACUGCCUUUGAUACUGGGUGUCUUGAGUGUGAUAGAGGUAUGUGGAACUCCGAGUGUAGAGGUGAAAUUCGUAGAUAUUCGGAAGAACACCAGUGGCGAAGGCGACAUACUGGAUCAUUACUGACGCUGAGGCUCGAAAGCGUGGGGAGCAAACAGGAUUAGAUACCCUGGUAGUCCACGCCGUAAACGAUGAUUGCUAGUUGUUGGGAUGUUUACAUCUCGGUGACGCAGCUAACGCAUUAAGCAAUCCGCCUGGGGAUACGGUCGCAAGAUUAAAACUCAAAAGGAUUGACGGCGNGAGAGNGCGACGACGACGACGAGGAGGAGG